CAGUUUCAACUCUCGUGUUCCCCUAUCUUCCUAUUCUCUCUCUAUUUUCUCAAAUCUCUCAACUUCUCUCAUUCCUCUAUUCUACUCCUUUGUAAAACCAAACAACAACAACAAAUCCUCUUCCUCUAUUAUGCGUUCUCAACCAAAAAAUAACCUCAAUCUGGCUGCUUCUUUGACCACGAAUCAAGAUCAAGGAAAAAGAAAUCGUAAAUAUCAUCUCUCUUUCUCCCUUACAGUUGACAUCAACAAUGAAAUUGAAUCCAACUCAACCACAAAAUCGAUGAUAGUCUAA
Non-coding RNA from Vicia faba (fava bean), 292 nucleotides. The record is from the annotation of a GenBank genome assembly. NCBI's taxonomy places the organism in Eukaryota, Viridiplantae, Streptophyta, Magnoliopsida, Fabales, Fabaceae.